UUUCCGUAGGUGAACCUGCGGAAGGAUCAUUGUCGAACCCUGCAAAGCAGAACGACCCGUGAACUUGUACCAACAACUGGGAGACGGGGAGACGGACCUCGGUCUGGAUCCCCGCCACCCUCCCGGCUUUCGUUCAUGAUGUCCCCGUGCGGGUCGUCAUGGAUGUCAUGYCGGAAACAUAACAACCCCCGGCACGGAAUGUGCCAAGGAAAACAACAAAUGAGAAGGACGCAUCCGGUGKUGCCCCGUUCGCGGUGYGCAUCCGGGAUGCGGCCUCCUUGAAAUCACAAACGACUCUCGGCAACGGAUAUCUCGGCUCACGCAUCGAUGAAGAACGUAGCAAAAUGCGAUACUUGGUGUGAAUUGCAGAAUCCCGUGAACCAUCGAGUUUUUGAACGCAAGUUGCGCCCGAAGCCAUCCGGCCGAGGGCACGCCUGCCUGGGCGUCACGCAUCGCGUCGCCCCCCACCAWCCAUCCCCAUGGGGAUUGUUGGCAUCGGGGCGGAGAUUGGCCUCCCAUGCUUCUGGUGUGGUUGGCCUAAACUGGAGUCCCCUUCGGUGGACGCACGACUAGUGGUGGUUGAAAAGACCCUCGUCCUGUGYCGUGCGUCAUAAGCCGUGAGGGAUGCGCUCGAGAAAGACCCCAAUGUGUYGUUUCACGACGAUGCUUCGACCGCGACCCCAGGUCAGGCGGGACUACCCGCUGAGUUUAAG
This 713-nucleotide ribosomal RNA is filed under the name Andryala perezii. RNAcentral's name for it is "eukaryotic LSU rRNA". The stretch from base 293 to 448 matches the Rfam family "5.8S ribosomal RNA". Lineage: Eukaryota; Viridiplantae; Streptophyta; Magnoliopsida; Asterales; Asteraceae. The record is from RNAcentral.